GACGAUGUAACUCUAGUAAAACUAUUCAUAAAUUAAAUUUCCCCCUUAAAUCACGGGUCCUACUUUCUCACCAAGACUGGAUGUUGAGUAGGAACAUGUACAUUUAGAGUAGUGUUACGAAUUUAGAUUUCAUCCCUUUACGAACACCUGAUGUAGGACUAAACAUCGUCAAAAGAUCGUCAUAAACAUUGCAAAAGAUAUCGUCAUAAACAUUGCAAAAGAUGCAGGUCUCUCUGUCAAUGGACUCCACAUGAAAAAACAAAUUCAUACUUUCAGGUCCAUUGGUCACACUGAAGCAUCAAAAGAUCUGGCAUCCAUAGAACAAACUGCACCUUGUAUACUUCCCUUGGGAGGUCCCCUCCAUAUUGGCUUACUAGAUCUGGCUUUCCAUUCCAAAGUUGAGUUGUGCAUCUUUCUCAUCACAAACAACUUCCAAACACAAUAUCAGCGGCUAUGAAGUCUGGCCAUCUAGUUCCUAGAUUGCCUAUAAACAAUCUACAAACUAUUGCUGAUAGUCCUCAACAACCAAUACAUUUAGCGGCCACCUGGAUUGAUCAGAUACUUCAAAUAUCA
Molecule: long non-coding RNA, 573 nt
Filed under: Phoenix dactylifera (date palm)
Lineage: Eukaryota; Viridiplantae; Streptophyta; Magnoliopsida; Arecales; Arecaceae
Description: long non-coding RNA (PDAC_LNC002689)
Source: RNAcentral